This 828-nucleotide ribosomal RNA is filed under the name uncultured bacterium. RNAcentral describes it as "bacterial SSU rRNA". It matches the Rfam family "Bacterial small subunit ribosomal RNA", at positions 51 to 898 of the family's 1533-position model. The record is from RNAcentral.
AUGCAUGCAAGUCGAACGGAGCCGCCUUCGGGCGGUCACGUGGCGGACGGGUGAGGAACACGUGGGCGAUCUGCCCCGGGGCGGGGGAUAGCCACCAGAAAUGGUGGGUAAUACCGCAUGAGCUCGGUUGGUUACGGCCAGCCGAGGAAAGGCGCAAGCCACCCUGGGAGGAGCCUGCGGCGGAUUAGCUUGUUGGUGGGGUAACGGCUCACCAAGGCUGUGAUCCGUAGCUGGUCUGAGAGGACGGCCAGCCACAGGGGAACUGAGACACGGUCCCCACUCCUACGGGAGGCAGCAGCAAGGAAUUUUCCGCAACGGGCGAAAGCCUGACGGAGCAACGCCGCGUGGGGGAUGACGCUUUUCGGAGUGUAAACCCCUUUUCUCAGGGAUGAAUCAACUGACAGUACCUGAGGAAGAAGGCCCGGCUAACUACGUGCCAGCAGCCGCGGUAAUACGUAGGGGUCGAGCGUUGUCCGGAGUUACUGGGCGUAAAGCGCGCGCAGGCGGCGCGAUAAGACCGGCGUGAAAGCCCCCGGCUCAACCGGGGAGGGUCGUUGGUGACUGUCGCGCUUGAAGGCAGCAGGGGUGAGUGGAAUUCCCGGUGUAGUGGUGAAAUGCGUAGAGAUCGGGAGGAACACCCGUGGCGAAGGCGGCUCACUGGGCUGACCUUGACGCUGAGGCGCGAAGGCGUGGGGAGCGAACGGGAUUAGAUACCCCGGUAGUCCACGCAGUAAACGAUGCAGACUAGGCGUGGGGGGACUUGACCCCCUCCGUGCCGGAGCUAACGCGGUAAGUCUGCCGCCUGGGGAGUACGGCCGCAAGGCUAAA